This is an RNA transcript of Cajanus cajan (pigeon pea), 1410 nucleotides long. It is a transcript of the gene named transcription factor IIB, with no coding region annotated. NCBI's taxonomy places the organism in Eukaryota, Viridiplantae, Streptophyta, Magnoliopsida, Fabales, Fabaceae. The record is from RefSeq and is a predicted model, not a curated record.
GUGAGUGAGAACGAAAAGCACGUGAGUUUCCUAAACAAUCGAACCCUCUUCUGUAAUUACUUAAACUUUUCACUCCUGAAUUCAGAAACAUUACAUAAAUACGCCGCUGAAGGAAUUGGAAUUGAAUUCCGAUGGAACUCUCGCGCUGAAACCCUAGAGAGAGAACAAUGUCCGACGCGUUCUGCAGCGAUUGCAAGAGGCACACGGAGGUCGUCUUCGACCACUCCGCCGGGGACACCGUCUGCUCCGAAUGCGGCCUCGUCUUGGAAUCUCACUCCAUCGACGAAACCUCCGAGUGGCGAACCUUCGCCAACGAGUCCGGCGACAACGACCCCGUGCGUGUCGGCGGUCCCUCCAAUCCGCUCCUCACCGACGGCGGCCUCUCCACCGUCAUCGCCAAGCCCAACGGCGCCUCCGCCGAGUUCCUCUCCUCCUCCCUCGGCCGCUGGCAGAACCGCGGCGCCAACCCCGAUCGCGGCCUCAUCCUCGCCUUCAAAACCAUCGCCACCAUGUCCGAUAGGUUGGGACUUGUUGCAACCAUCAAGGAUCGAGCGAAUGAGAUAUAUAAAAGGGUUGAAGAUCAGAAGUCUAGUAGAGGAAGAAAUCAGGAUGCAUUAUUGGCUGCUUGCCUCUACAUUGCUUGCCGACAAGAAGACAAACCUCGCACUGUGAAGGAAAUUUGCUCUGUUGCCAAUGGAGCCACAAAGAAGGAAAUUGGCCGAGCAAAAGAAUACAUAGUUAAACAACUGGGUUUGGAGAAGGGACAAUCUGUAGAGAUGGGAACAAUACAUGCUGGGGACUUUAUGAGACGUUUUUGUUCUAAUCUUGGUAUGAAUAAUCAAGCUGUUAAAGCUGCUCAGGAAGCUGUUCAGAAAUCAGAAGAAUUUGAUAUAAGGAGGAGUCCCAUAUCAAUUGCUGCAGCAGUUAUAUACAUCAUAACUCAGCUUUCGGAUGAUAAAAAGCCUCUCAAAGAUAUAUCAGUUGCCACUGGAGUUGCAGAAGGAACCAUUAGAAACUCAUACAAGGAUCUAUAUCCCCAUGUUUCAAAAAUCAUACCAAACUGGUACGCAAAGGAAGAGGAUUUGAAGAACCUAUGCAGCCCUUAAAGCAAAACAAUAGUGACCACAUUUAACAACUUAGAGCCAUUGGGACGUUCUGUUCUGAAUUUAACUGCACAUUCAUUUUGGUUUACUCCAAUUUGAGAAUUCUAGGGGAGAGGCACCGUUCAUAUAUAUAAUUUGCUCAACCCUUUAUGGAAGUAAGUUUAUUCUGCACUUGUGUUGAAAUUUCUGGGUCAUACAUAGAGUUUAUAACUAUUUGUAACUUUGUAGUGUACACAAGAUACCUAUUGAAUCCGAAAUUGGUUGACGACUGAUUAAAAGCUUUGAACUAAAUGUUUGUCUACGUUUA